This 253-nucleotide ribosomal RNA is filed under the name uncultured bacterium. Its description in RNAcentral is "partial 16S ribosomal RNA". It matches the Rfam family "Bacterial small subunit ribosomal RNA", at positions 524 to 776 of the family's 1533-position model. The record is from RNAcentral.
UACGGAGGGUGCAAGCGUUGCUCGGAAUUAUUGGGCGUAAAGGGUAGGUAGGUGGUCUCAUUUGUCUGGGGUGAAAGCCUUGAGCUUAACUCAAGAAGUGCCCCAGAAACGGUGAGACUGGAGUCCUGGAGAGGGUCGUGGAAUUCCCGGUGUAGCGGUGAAAUGCGUAGAGAUCGGGAGGAACACCAGAGGCGAAAGCGGCGACCUGGACAGGUACUGACACUCAAAUACGAAAGCGUGGGGAGCAAACAGG